This 253-nucleotide ribosomal RNA is filed under the name uncultured bacterium. Its description in RNAcentral is "partial 16S ribosomal RNA". It matches the Rfam family "Bacterial small subunit ribosomal RNA", at positions 524 to 776 of the family's 1533-position model. The record is from RNAcentral.
UACGAAGGGGGCGAGCGUUGUUCGGAUUUACUGGGCGUAAAGGGCGCGCAGGCGGCUCAUUUUGUCAGGCGUGAAAGCCCCGGGCUUAACCUGGGAACUGCGUUUGAUACGGAUGGGCUAGAGUUCGGGAGAGGAGAGUGGAAUUCCCAGUGUAGAGGUGAAAUGCGUAGAGAUCGGUAGGAACACCAGUGGCGAAGGCGGUCUCCUGGAGCUAACUUGACGCUGAGACGCGAAAGCAUGGGGAGCAAACAGG